RNAcentral lists this long non-coding RNA (332 nucleotides) under Androctonus crassicauda. The record is from RNAcentral. Lineage: Eukaryota; Metazoa; Arthropoda; Arachnida; Scorpiones; Buthidae.
AUAUUAAUCCAGUUACCCUUAGAUAUAGAAAGAAAAUCGAGAAAGCCACAGGACAUAAACUCAUUUUUAACAGAAGGAACAUCUUGUUUAAUCUUUUGUGUAGCGACAGGGAUGGAAUGGACCGGUCAUCCAUCCCAGUCGUUUGCGGGGUUCCCGCAGUGGAUGGGGAUUGCAAACAGGAUCUGAGGUGCAUGGGAUAUACAUCGAGAUCACUUCAAGAAUUAGUGAACACUGGCGAGAUAUUGAUGGUGGUGCAAUGUCUGCAUCUUUGGCGCAGGGGGCAGUUUCCUCUGAAUUGUCGGUGGGGUGGAGCGGGGCCAAGGUGGUGUUUG